Molecule: long non-coding RNA, 934 nt
Filed under: Hordeum vulgare
Lineage: Eukaryota; Viridiplantae; Streptophyta; Magnoliopsida; Poales; Poaceae
Description: long non-coding RNA (HVUL_LNC017025)
Source: RNAcentral
UCCAACAUGAUGAUGAAUAUGUUUGAAGAUUUUCUAAACCCUGCACCUUUCCAAUUCAUCAUAAUUUUUUCAACAUAUAGUUUAUCUUACAGAGACAAAAUUUAAACAUUCAGAUUGAUUUGGUGGAUGUACAAGGUUCGAAGGUUGCUCUGGAGCAUCAAUCUAGACGGGGCAUCCUACAACUGAAAAAACCCAGUGCUCUCUAUUUUGAUCUGUUGAAGAAGCUACUGUUGUCUUAGCUGCUAGCAUUGAUUGUGGUUUCUUGCUUCUGCCUUCUUGUGGUUGCAGAUUGUUUAGCCCAAGCUAUGCUGGUAGCCAUCAAAAUAUGUCGUAUUUUUGGCUUGUGAUCCUCUCCUGACUUAUAUUUGGGUAAUGUGGAUGGCUUGAUAUGCAAAAAGAGGUUAGGGACUAACACUUUAUACCAAAACAAUGGAGAGUUGAAGCUUCUGAACUGGAAGCUUGAACAAAAAAAUUGCCAUGGACACUCUACUCGUCAUCAUGUCUUUGAUUAGUGUCAUUUCCACUGAAUAUGAUUCCGAUUUGUUUGUAUAGAAUUGAUUUUCAGAAGUGAUGUUCUUCUGGUGGUUCUCCAGUGGGAUCUGGAUACGAAUCUUCAGUGCAUCUUCUCGGUUUGCUGCGGAACUUCCUAUUUUAAUUUGGCAACUUGUAAAAUAAGUCUCGCUAAAUUUGAUGACUACUGCUGAUUGUAUACUUUUCAACUCAAGUAGCUUGUACAUGUCAGUUUCAUUCAUGCUGGAUAUUCUCAUUCAUGUUCUGGAAUUUAUAGCUUUCCUUAUUUGUGCCCGUAUGUCCCUGCCUUGUGAUCUUGUGCAAAUGUUGUGUGAAUAUUUACUGCCUUUGGUGAAUUGUGUGCGGUGCCAAUCCUGCCUUUGGUUGAUCUUGUGGCUUGUGUACUUAGCUGAAUAUAAUUGGU